This 710-nucleotide ribosomal RNA is filed under the name uncultured bacterium. RNAcentral's name for it is "bacterial SSU rRNA". It matches the Rfam family "Bacterial small subunit ribosomal RNA", at positions 104 to 810 of the family's 1533-position model. The record is from RNAcentral.
GGGUGAGUAACACGUAUGCAACCUGUCCGGUACAGGGGGAUAAGCGGCGGAAACGCCGUCUAAUACCGCGUGACAACCCGAGGGGGCAUCCCCUUGGGUUCAAAGGAGAGAUCCGGUACCGGCUGGGCAUGCGGCGCAUUAGCUAGUUGGCGGGGCAACGGCCCACCAAGGCGACGAUGCGUAGGGGUUCUGAGAGGAAGGUCCCCCACACUGGAACUGAGACACGGUCCAGACUCCUACGGGAGGCAGCAGUGAGGAAUAUUGGUCAAUGGGCGCAAGCCUGAACCAGCCAAGUCGCGUGAGGGAAGACAGCCCUACGGGUUGUAAACCUCUUUUGCCGGGGAGCAAGCCUGAGCACGUGUGCCCAGGCGGAGAGUACCCGGAGAAAAAGCAUCGGCUAACUCCGUGCCAGCAGCCGCGGUAAUACGGAGGAUGCGAGCGUUAUCCGGAUUUAUUGGGUUUAAAGGGUGCGCAGGCGGGCUGUUAAGCCGGCGGUAAAAAUUCAGGGCUCAACCCUGUCGAGCCGUCGGAACUGGCAGUCUUGAGUGGGCGAGAAGUAUGCGGAAUGCGUGGUGUAGCGGUGAAAUGCAUAGAUAUCACGCAGAACGCCGAUUGCGAAGGCAGCAUACCGGCGCCCAACUGACGCUGAGGCACGAAAGCGUGGGGAUCGAACAGGAUUAGAUACCCUGGUAGUCCACGCAGUAAACGAU